Molecule: ribosomal RNA, 393 nt
Filed under: uncultured bacterium
Lineage: Bacteria
Description: partial 16S ribosomal RNA
Rfam family: Bacterial small subunit ribosomal RNA
Source: RNAcentral
AUACGGAGGAUCCGAGCGUUAUCCGGAUUUAUUGGGUUUAAAGGGAGCGUAGGCGGGAGAUCAAGUCAGCUGUGAAAUGUAGGCGCUCAACGUGUGCACUGCAGUUGAAACUGGUUUUCUUGAGUGCGUAAGGGGCAGGCGGAAUUCGUCGUGUAGCGGUGAAAUGCUUAGAUAUGACGAAGAACUCCGAUCGCGAAGGGAGUUUGCAGGGCCGCAACUGACGCUGAAGCUCGAAGGUGCGGGUAUCGAACAGGAUUAGAUACCCUGGUAGUCCGCACAGUAAACGAUGGAUACUCGCUGUCGGCGAUAUACGGUCGGUGGCCAAGCGAAAGCGUUAAGUAUCCCACCUGGGGAGUACGCCGGCAACGGUGAAACUCAAAUGAAUUGGCGGGG